Molecule: long non-coding RNA, 1131 nt
Filed under: Triticum aestivum (bread wheat)
Lineage: Eukaryota; Viridiplantae; Streptophyta; Magnoliopsida; Poales; Poaceae
Description: long non-coding RNA (TAES_LNC015859)
Source: RNAcentral
CAGUGUUUAAUUCUGUUAAUAUUGCUAGUGUUUACUCAUUUCAAUUAGUGCUAAUGUUUACUCCAUGUCAAUAUUACUUUUACUGUCAUGGUCAUGUUAUUUGAACCUUAAGGCUUUGUGCACCUUAUUUGAACUUUCAGAAACCAGCCUAAUUUCCUUAGGUGAACUCAUAAUAUGACAAUUGUUUCAGAAACAACACCCUUUUCAAUACAUCAAUUCUGCCUUUUCUUGUCAAGAAACAACACCCUUUUCAGUACAUCAUCUGCAAAUUUGAUUCACUUAGUGUUACUCCUAACUGAAUUCCUUUGGCAGUGUGAAAGAAAGAGAACUCGAGCCAAGGUGAUGGUGAUGGAAAUGAAUGAAAGAAAGAGAAGCUAGUAAAUAAAGAAACUGAGAUUUAGUUUGAUUUGGAGCGCCUCUUGUUGUACCAUAGUUCCUUCUCUUGGAGUAGUACUUGUACAACAGGUUUUGGAUUGGGAGGGGAAAAUGCUCUUCCUUCAGUCUCUGUUGAAGUCAAACCCAUCCAUGCAAAAUAUGUACUGUAGUACAAUUAAUGUAGAUGAAUAUAUAUGCCUUGCAGUUUUAUCGUGCAUGCCAUUCAACUAACUUGCUCUUGUCCAUGCAGAUGGAGUAGGAGGACGAGCAGCAGCAGCAAAUCAGCCUGAUGAUGAUGGGGUGCAGAAGGCAAUGGUGAUCAUGCUGAUGGCAUGAAGAAGGCUGAUGACCACAACCUGGACCUUUUGGCAUUUAGAGAUGGAAAACACAGGCGGCGUGGAGACAACAACCUGGACCACCCACCUCCCUUGCCUUUUUAAUUUUGGUUGUGGUGGUUGCAUCACCGUCGCGGUCGCAAAUCAGUAUGUAGUGUGCUUGUGGAGUUGGGUCUGGACUGCAGUGUCCAUCUAGUAGGUUAGGUGUUGUUGCUGCUAGAUCCCAUGAUGCUCACCUAAGUUUUGUGUUAUGUGGAGGCCAACCUUUGUGAUCUUAUUUGUCGACACUUGUGUGAUCUCGUCUUACUUUGUGAUACAAGUUGUACGAUAUAUAUGUUUUUAUGGAUGAUCUUAUGAUGUUCUUCUUUUCCUGUGGUCUGUGUUAGAUAUUUGUGAUAUAUGCAUGGGCUAUACAUAUGAA